Non-coding RNA from Podarcis lilfordi (Lilford's wall lizard), 71 nucleotides. Lineage: Eukaryota; Metazoa; Chordata; Lepidosauria; Squamata; Lacertidae. The record is from the annotation of a GenBank genome assembly.
GGUCUGUGGCUCAGUGGUAGAGCAUCUGCUUUGCAUGCAGACAGUCCCAGGUUCAAUCCCCAGCAUCUCCA